GUGAGGAAUUUUCCGCAAUGGGCGAAAGCCUGACGGAGCAAUGCCGCGUGAAGGAUGAAGGCCUAUGGGUUGUAAACUUCUUUUCUCAGAAAAGAAUUAUGACGGUAUCUGAGGAAUAAGCAUCGGCUAACUCUGUGCCAGCAGCCGCGGUAAGACAGAGGAUGCAAGCGUUAUCCGGAAUGAUUGGGCGUAAAGCGUCUGUAGGUUGUUUAAAAAGUAUUCUGUCAAAGAUUAGGGCUUAACCCUAGAUAGGCAGAAUAAACUUUUAAGCUAGAGUUUGGUAGAGGCAGAGGGAAUUCCCGGUGGAGCGGUGAAAUGCGUAGAUAUCGGGAGGAACACCAAAGGCGAAGGCACGCUGCUGGGCCAAUACUAACACUGAGAGACGAAAGCGAGGGGAGCAAAUGGGAUUAGAUACCCGAGUAGUCC
This 426-nucleotide ribosomal RNA is filed under the name uncultured bacterium. RNAcentral's name for it is "partial 16S ribosomal RNA". It matches the Rfam family "Bacterial small subunit ribosomal RNA", at positions 354 to 796 of the family's 1533-position model. The record is from RNAcentral.